RNAcentral lists this transfer RNA (62 nucleotides) under Pueribacillus theae. RNAcentral's name for it is "tRNA-Lys". It matches the Rfam family "tRNA", at positions 6 to 65 of the family's 71-position model. Rfam says of the family: Transfer RNA (tRNA) molecules are approximately 80 nucleotides in length. RNAcentral also lists the same sequence under 1 other name. The record is from RNAcentral. Lineage: Bacteria; Bacillati; Bacillota; Bacilli; Caryophanales; Bacillaceae.
AUUAGCUCAGUUGGUAGAGCAUCUGACUUUUAAUCAGAGGGUCGCAGGUUCGAAUCCUGCAU